UACGGAGGGUGCAAGCGUUAUCCGGAUUCACUGGGUUUAAAGGGUGUGUAGGCGGGUAUUUAAGUCAGUGGUGAAAUCUCCAGGCUCAACCUGGAAACUGCCAUUGAUACUAUUUAUCUUGAAUAUCGUUGAGGUAGGCGGAAUAUAUCAUGUAGCGGUGAAAUGCUUAGAUAUGAUAUAGAACACCGAUUGCGAAGGCAGCUUGCUAAACGAUUAUUGACGCUGAGGCACGAAAGCGUGGGGAUCAAACAGG
Molecule: ribosomal RNA, 253 nt
Filed under: uncultured bacterium
Lineage: Bacteria
Description: partial 16S ribosomal RNA
Rfam family: Bacterial small subunit ribosomal RNA
Source: RNAcentral